Molecule: long non-coding RNA, 1773 nt
Organism: Peromyscus californicus insignis
Lineage: Eukaryota; Metazoa; Chordata; Mammalia; Rodentia; Cricetidae
Exons: 3
Source: RefSeq, a predicted model, not a curated record
GCUGGAACGCGCGGCAGCUCUACCGCGCAAGUCCUGAGGUUGCGGGUGCGCUCCCGUUCUUGGGUGGUAGCCUUGGGCGUUCCAGUCCCAGACGGUUAAUCGAAUAGAUGUUAACCGAAUGCCCAGGGCUUGUCAGACGGCUUUGUGUGAUGUGGCAGUGGUGUCAAAACAAAGCCCUGUCCUCACAGAGCUUUCGUGAGUGGAGAGAAGUCCGGGUACAUUCAGAUAGUGACACCGUGAAGGGACAUAGCGAAAAAGAGGGAGAUCGAGGGGGAGGGGCUACUAUUUAAAAUAGCUUAAUUAUAGCAGAAGCUCAUUUUACAGAAUUCUGGAGGAACAGGGACACGUGACCGUCUGAAGGAAGGGUGGUUCGAGUGGAAGGAACGACAGACAUGUAAAGGCUCGGAAUGGGGACUUUCGUGGCGGAGUAGUUGGGGGAUUGAGGAGGAGGAGCUUACAGGAGUCCCUACAGAGUGGAGCCAGUCAGGAUGCGGCUCAGCCGGACCUCCCACUCCAGUGACAGCAACUUCGUGAAGGUGGCCCAUGACUUCCACUUGGCCAGAUCCACCGGUUAUGUCUUAGUCCUUACAUUAUGGUUUGACAAGCAACUACAACAGUGUCAGAAGCCCUCUUCUGCUGAGUACAGGUGCUUCAGUCUGUGAACAGGGUACUUACUUAACCUGGGGGAAACCUGUUUUUCAGUGUGCUAAGGACCUGGACUGGGACUGUGGUGCUUGCUCUCCCUGCCGCCCAGGCAAGCCUCAACUUGCUGUGAUCCCCCUGCUUCAACUUCCCAAAUGCUGAAAUCACGGUUUUGUUCUGAGAGAAAGCCUGAAAACUUCUUUCCUGGCCAGCUGGACUGCUGAGGCUUAAGCACAGAGCUCUCAGAUGGCCUCCACUGUGAAUACCCAGAGGUCACUGUGAAAGCUUCUUCACAUCGCUUUGCCACUGACCUGAACCCACGCUGGGAUAGGUUGCUGUCAGCGCAGAGUCCGUCUCAGCACACCUGGCUGCGAUGUCCCUCUAGUCUUCUGUCUCCCUCCGUUGCCUCCCCACAUCUAAAAUCCCUCCUCGCUCGUCUAUCUGCUCAUCCUCAAUUAUCUUUUCCAUCUGUCCAAUUCUCACUCGUUCUUUAGGGCGCCGCGGGAAGCUCGUCGCUUCUGUGAAGUGACACAUGUAAUUUAGUCGUCACAUGUCUGCUCUGGAGGCCAGAGCUUUAGGGGUCCCGAGAUGCAGCAUGAAGAAGGGUAGCCGCUGACCUCAGGGAGCCCAGACAGAGAAUGACAGCAGGACUAUGUGUAAACUCCAGGGACUGACAUCUGAGCCUGAGAGAGUGCCUCCUUCCUCCCAGACCAGAACCCUCCCUGCUUCGAAUUCUGUCAUUUAAGCCUGGGUCCCAUCUAGAAGUCACCUCCUCUGCCUUGCACAGUUGGUGUUCUCUUCCUGUGAGUCUUUACACCCUCCUUUCAGCCAAACCAAGAUGGGGGAGACCUUAACCCCAUUUUCCUCCUGGCCCGAGCACAGGGCCUACCAGACUUGCUUUGGUUCCUGAUGUCUGUGUGGUUGGCUUGCUCCGUGGCUGUGGGCCUGUGUCGUCAUGACAGUGGUACAGUGAACAUUUCACUUUACGAUAUCCAGGAAGGAGAGGGAGGGCCAGAGGGAAGGAAAGACAGACUGACUUGUCACAGGCCUGCCCUCAGUGAUCUUUUUUCCAAACAGGCCUCCAGUGGUGGUGCAUGCCUUUAUCCCAGCACUCGAGAGGCAGAGGCAGGU